This 20-nucleotide small nuclear RNA is filed under the name Arabidopsis thaliana (thale cress). RNAcentral's name for it is "snRNA_00540". The record is from RNAcentral. Lineage: Eukaryota; Viridiplantae; Streptophyta; Magnoliopsida; Brassicales; Brassicaceae.
GAACCGUUGAUUCGCACAAU